GGGGCAGGGGCUCAGUGGUAGAGCACCCACCUAGCAUGUGUGGGGCCCUGGGUUCCAUCCUCAGCACCA
This 69-nucleotide transfer RNA is filed under the name Marmota monax (woodchuck). RNAcentral's name for it is "tRNA.Ala". The record is from RNAcentral. Lineage: Eukaryota; Metazoa; Chordata; Mammalia; Rodentia; Sciuridae.